CGCUCUGUUGCUGGUACCGCCUA
This 23-nucleotide non-coding RNA is filed under the name Arabidopsis thaliana (thale cress). Lineage: Eukaryota; Viridiplantae; Streptophyta; Magnoliopsida; Brassicales; Brassicaceae. The record is from RNAcentral.